Molecule: non-coding RNA, 29 nt
Filed under: Mus musculus (house mouse)
Lineage: Eukaryota; Metazoa; Chordata; Mammalia; Rodentia; Muridae
Source: RNAcentral
UUUGUUUACUUAUUGAAAGGUGGGGCGGC